GGAAUAUUGGUCAAUGGCCGAGAGGCUGAACCAGCCAAGUAGCGUGCAGGACGACGGCCCUAUGGGUUGUAAACUGCUUUUAUGCGGGGAUAAAGUGCGGCACGUGUGCCGUUUUGUAGGUACCGCAUGAAUAAGGAUCGGCUAACUCCGUGCCAGCAGCCGCGGUAAUACGGAGGAUCCGAGCGUUAUCCGGAUUUAUUGGGUUUAAAGGGGGCGUAGGCGGAGGAUCAAGUCAGUUGUGAAAUGUAGGCGCUCAACGCCUGCACUGCAGUUGAAGCUGGUCCCCUUGAGUGCGUAAGAGGCAGGCGGAAUUCGUCGUGUAGCGGUGAAAUGCUUAGAUAUGACGAAGAACUCCGAUCGCGAAGGCAGCUUGCCGGGCCGCAACUGACGCUGAAGCUCGAAGGUGCGGGUAUCGAACA
RNAcentral lists this ribosomal RNA (419 nucleotides) under uncultured Prevotella sp. RNAcentral describes it as "bacterial SSU rRNA". It matches the Rfam family "Bacterial small subunit ribosomal RNA", at positions 358 to 774 of the family's 1533-position model. Lineage: Bacteria; Pseudomonadati; Bacteroidota; Bacteroidia; Bacteroidales; Prevotellaceae. The record is from RNAcentral.